AUACUGUGAAACUGCGAAUGGCUCAUUAAAUCAGUUAUCGUUUAUUUGAUAGUACCUUACUACUUGGAUAACCGUGGUAAUUCUAGAGCUAAUACAUGCUGAAAACCCCAACUUCGGGAGGGGUGUAUUUAUUAGAUAAAAAACCAACGCCCUUUCGGGGCUUCUUGGUGAUUCAUGAUAACUUAACGGAUCGCAUGGCCUUGCGCCGGCGACGGUUCAUUCAAAUUUCUGCCCUAUCAACUUUCGAUGGUAAGGUAUUGGCUUACCAUGGUUUCAACGGGUAACGGGGAAUUAGGGUUCGAUUCCGGAGAGGGAGCCUGAGAAACGGCUACCACAUCCAAGGAAGGCAGCAGGCGCGCAAAUUAUCCAAUCCCGACACGGGGAGAUAGUGACAAUAAAUACUGAUACAGGGCUCUUUUGGGUCUUGUAAUUGGAAUGAGUACAAUUUAAACCUCUUAACGAGGAACAAUUGGAGGGCAAGUCUGGUGCCAGCAGCCGCGGUAAUUCCAGCUCCAAUAGCGUAUAUUAAAGUUGUUGCAGUUAAAAAGCUCGUAGUUGAAACUUGGGUCUGGCUGGCAGGUCCGCCUCACCGCGUGUACUUGUCCGGCCGGGCCUUCCUUCUGGAGAACCUCAUGCCCUUCACUGGGCGUGUUGGGGACCAGAACUUUUACUUUGAAAAAAUUAGAGUGUUCAAAGCAGGCCUUUGCUCGAAUACGUUAGCAUGGAAUAAUAAAAUAGGACGUGCGGUCCUAUUUUGUUGGUUUCUAGGACCGCCGUAAUGAUUAAUAGGGACAGUCGGGGGCAUCAGUAUUCAAUUGUCAGAGGUGAAAUUCUUGGAUUUAUUGAAGACUAACUACUGCGAAAGCAUUUGCCAAGGAUGUUUUCAUUAAUCAGUGAACGAAAGUUAGGGGAUCGAAGACGAUCAGAUACCGUCGUAGUCUUAACCGUAAACUAUGCCGACUAGGGAUCGGGCGAUGUUCUUUUUCUGACUCGCUCGGCACCUUACGAGAAAUCAAAGUUUUUGGGUCUGGGG
This 1033-nucleotide ribosomal RNA is filed under the name Dematiopleospora donetzica. Its description in RNAcentral is "SSU rRNA". It matches the Rfam family "Eukaryotic small subunit ribosomal RNA", at positions 76 to 1119 of the family's 1831-position model. Lineage: Eukaryota; Fungi; Ascomycota; Dothideomycetes; Pleosporales; Phaeosphaeriaceae. The record is from RNAcentral.